AUGAGUUAUCGGAACUAUGUUCAAAUGGAUGAUUGCAAAAAUAUUAUCCUUUUUUUGAUGUGGUUGUACUGUUAUAUAAAUAAAAAAUUUAGCUCAUUUUAUACAUGUGCAAUUUGUGUGGAAGUGCAGUCUGUGCUAUUGAAAAUUCUGUACGUGUGUAUUAGAAAGUCUGUGCUGUUGAAAAGCUAUACAUUUGGGUGCCAUGCAUAUUUGAACAUAUAUAUAGUGCUGCAACUUGGGCGCCAUGUAUAUUUUACAACCGAAUUGAAACUGGAGCCAACUUACAGGGGUGGCAGAAAAACAACAUUCCAAGCGGAGGCUAGAAGCGGAAUGGAAAUACAACCCUGUGGCAUGUAUUUGGUUUGA
RNAcentral lists this ribosomal RNA (366 nucleotides) under Triticum aestivum (bread wheat). RNAcentral describes it as "partial small subunit ribosomal RNA". Lineage: Eukaryota; Viridiplantae; Streptophyta; Magnoliopsida; Poales; Poaceae. The record is from RNAcentral.